RNAcentral lists this non-coding RNA (31 nucleotides) under Homo sapiens (human). Lineage: Eukaryota; Metazoa; Chordata; Mammalia; Primates; Hominidae. The record is from RNAcentral.
UGUGCUGAGAGAUCCGCUGCUCUCAGAGCCA